GAUGAACGCUGGCGGCGUGCCUAAUACAUGCAAGUCGAGCGAACAGACGAGGAGCUUGCUCCUCUGACGUUAGCGGCGGACGGGUGAGUAACACGUGGAUAACCUACCUAUAAGACUGGGAUAACUUCGGGAAACCGGAGCUAAUACCGGAUAAUCUAUUGCACCGCAUGGUGCAAUAGUAAAAGACGGUUUUGCUGUAUCUUAUAGAUGGAUCUCCGCUGCAUUAGCUAGUUGGUAAGGUAACGGGUUACCAAGGGAACGAUGCGUAGCCGACGUGAGAGGGUGAUAGGCCACCCGAGAGUUGGGACACGGACAAUACGACUACGGGAGGCAGCAGAAGGGAAUCUUCGGCAGUGGGCGAAAGCCUGACGGAACAGCGCCGCGUGAGAGAUAAAGGUCUUCGGAGCGUAAAACUCUGUUAUUAGGGAAGAACAAAUGUGUAAGUAACUAUACACGGCUUGACGGUACCUGAUCAGAAAGCCACGGCUAACUACGUG
RNAcentral lists this ribosomal RNA (497 nucleotides) under uncultured bacterium. RNAcentral describes it as "partial 16S ribosomal RNA". It matches the Rfam family "Bacterial small subunit ribosomal RNA", at positions 28 to 507 of the family's 1533-position model. The record is from RNAcentral.